GUCCUUAUGGUAGGUAAUAUAUAAGGUCUGGCCUGCCCACUGAAGGAAUUUAAAGGGCCGCGGUAUACUAACCGUGCGAAGGUAGCAUAGUCAAUAGUCUCUUAAUUGGGGGCUUGAAUGAACGGUCGGACAUAGGGAAAGCUGUCUCAGCUUUUAAUGAUGAAUUUAACUUUUGUGUGAAAAGGCAUUAAUGUAUUAGUGGGACGAUAAGACCCUAUAAAACUUGACGUUUAAUUUAGGUUCUGUGAUUUUGGAGUAAAGGAGAGCCUGAUUAGUUCGUUGUGCUGGGGCGGCAAGAAUAAAAUUUGUAACUGUUCUUUAUAUUGAAUAAUGAUUUUUAGAUGUUGGAUCCUGAAUUUUGGGUUAGAAGAUUAAGUUACUUUAGGGAUAACAGCGUUAUUUCUCUUGAGAGUUCAUAUCGACAGAGAUAUUUGCGACCUCGAUGUUGAAUUAAAGUUUUUCCCGGGAGUAGAAGUUCGGGCGGUGGGUCUGUUCGACCCUUGAAACUUUACAUGAUUUGAGUUCAAACCGGUG
Molecule: ribosomal RNA, 534 nt
Filed under: Alpheus petronioi
Lineage: Eukaryota; Metazoa; Arthropoda; Malacostraca; Decapoda; Alpheidae
Description: partial 16S ribosomal RNA
Rfam family: Bacterial large subunit ribosomal RNA
Source: RNAcentral